ACGGCGAGUGAAGCGGCAACAGCUCAAAUUUGAAAUCUGGCGCCCUCGGCGUCCGAGUUGUAAUUUGUAGAGGAUGCUUCGGCGAGGGCUCCCGUCUAAGUCCCCUGGAACGGGGCGUCGCAGAGGGUGAGAAUCCCGUAUGUGAUGGGCUGCCCGAGCCGUGUGAAGCUCCUUCGACGAGUCGAGUUGUUUGGGAAUGCAGCUCUAAAUGGGAGGUAAAUUUCUUCUAAAGCUAAAUACCGGCCAGAGACCGAUAGCGCACAAGUAGAGUGAUCGAAAGAUGAAAAGCACUUUGGAAAGAGAGUUAAAAAGUACGUGAAAUUGUUGAAAGGGAAGCGCUUGCAACCAGACUCGCGCGCAGUUGCUCAGCCGGUCUCCUGACCGGUGUACUCUUCUGCGUCCGGGCCAGCAUCAGUUCGGGCGGCCGGAUAAAGGCCUCGGGAAUGUGGCUCCCCUCGGGGAGUGUUAUAGCCCGGGGUGCAAUGCGGCCAGCCCGGACUGAGGAACUCGCUUCGGCUAGGAUGCUGGCGUAAUGGUUGUAAGCGGCCCGUCUUGAAACACGGACCAAGGAGUCUAACAUCUAUGCGAGUGUUUGGGUGUCAAACCCAUGCGCGUAAUGAAAGUGAACGGAGGUGGGAACCCUCACGGGUGCACCAUCGACCGAUCCUGAUGUCUUCGGAUGGAUUUGAGUAAGAGCAUAGCUGUUGGGACCCGAAAGAUGGUGAACUAUGCCUGAAUAGGGUGAAGCCAGAGGAAACUCUGGUGGAGGCUCGCAGCGGUUCUGACGUGCAAAUCGAUCGUCAAAUUUGGGUAUAGGGGCGAAAGACUAAUCGAACCAUCUAGUAGCUGGUUCCUGCCGAAGU
This 863-nucleotide ribosomal RNA is filed under the name Kellermania triseptata. RNAcentral's name for it is "eukaryotic LSU rRNA". It matches the Rfam family "Eukaryotic large subunit ribosomal RNA", at positions 86 to 967 of the family's 3401-position model. The record is from RNAcentral. Lineage: Eukaryota; Fungi; Ascomycota; Dothideomycetes; Botryosphaeriales; Planistromellaceae.